This 474-nucleotide ribosomal RNA is filed under the name uncultured microorganism. RNAcentral describes it as "bacterial SSU rRNA". It matches the Rfam family "Bacterial small subunit ribosomal RNA", at positions 9 to 474 of the family's 1533-position model. The record is from RNAcentral.
GAGUUUGAUCGUGGCUCAGAACGAACGCUGGCGGCGUGCUUAACACAUGCAAGUCGAACGAGAAAGAGUUCUUCGGAACUUGAGUAAAGUGGCGCACGGGUGAGUAACGCGUAGAUAACCUGCCCUGAUGUCCGGGAUAACCCUUCGAAAGGGGGACUAAUACCGGAUACGCUGACUUUCAUAAGGAGAAUCAGGAAAGAUGGCCUCUGAUAUAAGCUAUCGCAUUUGGAGGGGUCUGCGUACCAUUAGCUUGUUGGUGGGGUAACGGCCUACCAAGGCAACGAUGGUUAGCGGGUCUGAGAGGAUGAUCCGUCACACUGGCACUGAAACACGGGCCAGACUCCUACGGGAGGCAGCAGUGAGGAAUAUUGCGCAAUGGGGGAAACCCUGACGCAGCGACGCCGCGUGAGUGAGGAAGCCUCGGUCGUAAGACGUCUGUCAGAGGGAAGAAAGUAGCGUAUGUGGUUAAGUACC